AUUGAACGCUGGCGGAAUGCUUUACACAUGCAAGUCGAGCGGCAGCGCGGGGGCAACCCUGGCGGCGAGCGGCGAACGGGUGAGUAAUACAUCGGAACGUGUCCUUAAGUGGGGGAUAGCUCGGCGAAAGCCGGAUUAAUACCGCAUAAGCUCUGAGGAGGAAAGCGGGGGCUCCGUAAGGACCUCGCGCUGUUGGAGCGGCCGAUGUCGGAUUAGCUAGUUGGUGGGGUAAAGGCCCACCAAGGCGACGAUCCGUAGCUGGUCUGAGGGGAUGAUCAGCCACACUGGAACUGAGACACGGUCCAGACUCCUACGGGAGGCAGCAGUGGGGAAUUUUGGACAAUGGGGGCAACCCUGAUCCAGCCAUUCCGCGUGAGUG
Molecule: ribosomal RNA, 379 nt
Filed under: uncultured bacterium
Lineage: Bacteria
Description: bacterial SSU rRNA
Rfam family: Bacterial small subunit ribosomal RNA
Source: RNAcentral